GUGCCAGCCGCCGCGGUAAUACCGGCAGCCCAAGUGAUGGCCGCUGUUAUUGGGCCUAAAGCGUCCGUAGCUGGCCGACCAAGUCUCCCGGGAAAUCCACCCGCCCAACGGGUGGGCGUCCGGUAGAAACUGGCCGGCUUGGAACCGGAAGGCUUAGAGAGUACGUUCGGGGUAGGAGUGAAAUCCCAUAAUCCCGCACGGACCACCGAUGGCGAAAGCACUUCGAGAAAACGGAUCCGACAGUGAGGGACGAAAGCCAGGGUCUCCAACCGGAUUAGAUACCCGGGUAGUCC
This 293-nucleotide ribosomal RNA is filed under the name uncultured bacterium. RNAcentral describes it as "partial 16S ribosomal RNA". It matches the Rfam family "Archaeal small subunit ribosomal RNA", at positions 455 to 747 of the family's 1478-position model. The record is from RNAcentral.